AGAGUUUGAUCAUGGCUCAGGAUGAACGCUGGCGGCGUGCCUAACACAUGCAAGUCGAGCGAUUUACUUCGGUAAAGAGCGGCGGACGGGUGAGUAACGCGUGGGUAACCUGCCCUGUACACACGGAUAACAUACCGAAAGGUAUGCUAAUACGAGAUAAUAUGCUUUUAUCGCAUGGUAGAAGUAUCAAAGCUCCGGCGGUACAGGAUGGACCCGCGUCUGAUUAGCUAGUUGGUAAGGUAACGGCUUACCAAGGCGACGAUCAGUAGCCGACCUGAGAGGGUGAUCGGCCACAUUGGAACUGAGACACGGUCCAAACUCCUACGGGAGGCAGCAGUGGGGAAUAUUGCACAAUGGGCGAAAGCCUGAUGCAGCAACGCCGCGUGAGCGAUGAAGGCCUUCGGGUCGUAAAGCUCUGUCCUCAAAGAAGAUAAUGACGGUACUUGAGGAGGAAGCCCCGGCUAACUACGUGCCAGCAGCCGCGGUAAUACGUAGGGGGCUAGCGUUAUCCGGAAUUACUGGGCGUAAAGGGUGCGUAGGUGGUUUCUUAAGUCAGAGGUGAAAGGCUACGGCUCAACCGUAGUAAGCCUUUGAAACUGGGAAACUUGAGUGCAGGAGAGGAGAGUGGAAUUCCUAGUGUAGCGGUGAAAUGCGUAGAUAUUAGGAGGAACACCAGUUGCGAAGGCGGCUCUCUGGACUGUAACUGACACUGAGGCACGAAAGCGUGGGGAGCAAACAGGAUUAGAUACCCUGGUAGU
RNAcentral lists this ribosomal RNA (758 nucleotides) under uncultured bacterium. Its description in RNAcentral is "bacterial SSU rRNA". It matches the Rfam family "Bacterial small subunit ribosomal RNA", at positions 8 to 794 of the family's 1533-position model. The record is from RNAcentral.